UUGUGCUGUUUAACUGUAUCAGAGUAGAUAACGAUGUGAUCCAAGUACACAAAACAGCCUUUGCCCUGUAGGUCUACUUCCAUCAGCCGUUGGAAAGUAACCGGAGCAUUUUUAAGUCCAAAUGGCAUUACCUUGAAUGGUAGAGGCCACACCGAACCUGCCACUGAGGACUGAGGACUACUUCAAAGAGCUAUGGGAGACUGCGCUAACUCCCUCCAUCUCCCACUAUUCCAGAAAAUCUGUUUGAGUCCCCCCCACCCCCAGAGAUUUCCACCAAAGACAGUGUUACUCCCUCCACUGUCCCUGUUACAACAGCUCCAGCUUGGCUUUCUCCAGCUCGGCUUUCAGAAAUCUGGCACGGCCAAGUCUGUCAGAUCCACUUAUCCCGACCUUCUCAACAAGCUGCAUUGCCAACUGGCAAAGACCAGCUCGGUUGAAGUGCCAGUGAGGAAGGAGCUUCCUGUAGGGGCCCAGCUCUCCCCAGACUGCAGCGGACCCCCUGCCCGCCCCACGGACUCUGCUGCAGCAGCAGCCCCAACAGCCAGACCAGCCCCUCCAGCAUCAACUUUCCCCAGAUUCCUCUGAUCUGGCUGCAACCAUGUGAGGGUCGCUGGACCCACAGCUGUUUGACCUCAUCGCCGCCCACCAAAGUGCUGCCGCCUCCUCUUCCUCCUCCACCAUUGCGCCCCUGAUGGACACCACCCCGUCGCUGGGUUAGGGUGGUCUGAAAUGCUUUUCCAGAAGAAGAACUGUCUUAUGGAAGAGAGGAGGGGGGGGCUGUCCAUGGUGCUGAAAAUGGAGGUGGUCUUCUCCAGAAGAAGCACCUGGCCAUGCU
Long non-coding RNA from Perca fluviatilis (European perch), 835 nucleotides. RefSeq lists it as uncharacterized. NCBI's taxonomy places the organism in Eukaryota, Metazoa, Chordata, Actinopteri, Perciformes, Percidae. The record is from RefSeq and is a predicted model, not a curated record. The transcript is spliced from 3 exons.